RNAcentral lists this ribosomal RNA (406 nucleotides) under uncultured bacterium. RNAcentral describes it as "partial 16S ribosomal RNA". It matches the Rfam family "Bacterial small subunit ribosomal RNA", at positions 29 to 526 of the family's 1533-position model. The record is from RNAcentral.
AUUGAACGCUGGCGGCAGGCUUAACACAUGCAAGUCGAGCGAGAGGCGGACGGGUGAGCAAUGUAUGGGAACCUGCCUGACGGAGGGGGAUAACUAAUGGAAACGGUAGAUAAUACCGCAUAACAUCCGUCGUGCCCAGGUGGGAUUAGCUAGCAGGGUGGGUAAUGGCUGACCAAGGCGACGAUCCCUAGCUGGUCUGAGAGGCUGACCAGCCACACUGGAACGGAGACACGGUCCAGACUCCUACGGGAGGCAGCAGUGGGGAAUAUUGGACAAUGGGCGAAAGCCUGAUGCAGCCAUGCCGCGUGUGUGAAGAAGGCCUUCGGGUUGUAAAGCACUUUCAGCGGGGAGGCGUUACUCGCAGAGAAAGCACCGGCUAACUCCGUGCCAGCAGCCGCGGUAAUAC